This 202-nucleotide long non-coding RNA is filed under the name Chinchilla lanigera (long-tailed chinchilla). RNAcentral's name for it is "lncRNA (ENSCLAG00000024800.1)". The record is from RNAcentral. Lineage: Eukaryota; Metazoa; Chordata; Mammalia; Rodentia; Chinchillidae.
AUGGCUCUGGACACUGGUGGACACCUUAUCCCUUACCCGGAAGGGGACGCUGACAGACAUGCCUUCCGGGAAGACGCGUCUGCCUCUGCAGCGGGUCUCAGGGUGGUGAACCUUUUCUUUGAAUUCCUAACCUGUGAUUUUACGGUAAGAUGGUAAUUAAAAUACCUAAUUUUAGAGUGAUUUUCUUUUUUAAAAUUCCAUU